Molecule: long non-coding RNA, 1969 nt
Organism: Gadus morhua (Atlantic cod)
Lineage: Eukaryota; Metazoa; Chordata; Actinopteri; Gadiformes; Gadidae
Exons: 3
Source: RefSeq, a predicted model, not a curated record
UUACUCCGGGAGUGAGCAAGGCGAUGGAGAGACUAACGAAAGCUUAGGCACACGGCGAGUGAACUGCUCCAUAGGAUAAAUAACCGGGGAACCGCUCUAGCCGAGCGGUUUAAUGUAGGCUACCUACCGUGUGACUUUCGUUUUGCCAUAAUAGUAACCGUUGAAUAAAAGCAAUAGCUCACUUCAGUCUGUGGUAUGUGCUCAUUAUACCUCUGUGAAGAGGGUCGCCAAUAAUUCCGCUAAUAACAGAGUCCUAUGUCAUUGACGUCUUCUCACAGGUCUUCACCUAGCGCCACUUCCCAGCUAGCUGCUGUAGCAGCAUGUUCAACGCUUUGGACGUUGCUGUUCCUGUCUGUAUCCCCAACAGUAGCCGUAAAACUGUGUCAUCUUUGGCUGUGUUGCCAAAUACUUACCGGCGUUAUUUAGCUUUUUAGGGUAACUUUAAUUCCUAACCCUUUUCCUAAACCUUAAUUUUAUUUUGCUUUGUCUCUGUUUGUGUAUUGUUUGGGGGGGAGGUCGGUAGGGCCCCCCCCCCCCACUACGGGGCCACAAGCGGCCGCGGCCUAUGCCUCUAUGUCAAGACGUGUGCGUGUGUGUGUGUGUGUGUGUGUGUGUGUGUGUGUGUGUGUGUGUGUGUGUGUGUGUGUGUGUGUGUGUGUGUGUGUGUGUGUGUGUGUGUGUGUGUGCGCCCAAUACGAGCCAAUGCAAAGGGUUAAAAUGUACCAUUAUAUCAAAUCUAACACAACUCUUCAAAAAGGAAAUAAUGAAAAAAAAAAAAAAAAGUAUUAUUUGAACUAUAUUACCUAAGCUAAGGAUCCUGAGGAUCUAAUUUGUUCGUUAUGAGUUAUCGCUCAUUCUUUUGUCUGUAUUAUCUAUAAACAUGUUAAAUAAAAAAGAAUAAGAAAAAUACAGGGAGAGGUUACCUCCCCUUUCUCUGCUUUGUCCGUCCAGAGAAUUUGUCCCGACCGCCCAUGAGAAAAUGAGAUACGACAACGUGAGCUCAGCACAUAUUAGUUGGUGCCGAGAUGAUGCCUCAUGUAACGUCAUAGCCUCGCAGCCAGAUGAACCGUCAAAGUGGUUCGACCUCGAAGCUUCAAAUGAGUACGCUAGGGACACCUACUGGUGAAUGAAAUGUUGAUGAAAGAGUUUCCUGUGAUGAUGUGAAGUUUGCUUCGUACAACAUCAAAACAUUUGAGAAAAGUAAUUUCAUUGAUAGGCCUACGUGUGAGUGUGCCGUUCAUAAAUAUCUCCCGAGCUCAUGAUGUCCUUGGGUGUCUUGAAAGGCGCCUCUAAAUUAAAUGUAUUAUUAUUAUUAUGGUAGAAAACAAAUAAUUUUACAAAGAUUUUAAGUCAUCCCGGGCAAAAUAGAAUGUCUUAUCUACUACAGUAGCCUACUAAUAAUUGUAAUUAUAGAACUGCAUGAUGACUGAGAAUGAGUGUCAUUAAUUAGGCUACAUAGCCAUUCAAGUAAUCUUGGAACUGGGUAGUGUCUUCUUUCUGCCAAUUGUGAACCCAUAUCGCGGCACAGCCCGAGAUGAAGCCUCGAACGUCACACGCUACGUCAUUUCUGAGCUCCGCUUGGGGGAGGAGCCAAGUUACUCGACACACGCCCCGAUGCCUCGACGCAAACCAUAACAUCGCUACAUACAGUAAGUUUCACCGACGACUGCUUCCUCAACUUGGUCCAAUACAAAGCUGGACUUGCGGAAGGUCUGGAAAUGGAGUCCGGUUCAGUACCAACUCUCCUCGGCUCAGCUACAAAUCUCGGACAAGCCAGCCCAUCAAUUGGUAACAUUCAGGUGUUUCUCUCAAGGGAUGUUGCCUGCCAUACAGACCACCUGGAAACACAUACUGUAGCCACACGGCUAUCCUUAAAGACUUUCCGGCCCCACUUCACAAGUAAAGAAGACUGCGAUGCCUUUGGAGACCGUAGCACGCAGCGCGGCGCCACCUCGGAGAGUCUGGGUGU